AAAAACAUGUCCUUUAGUUGUUUAUUUAAGGUCUGGCCUGCCCAAUGAAUAUUAAUUUUGAAUGGCCGCAGUAUCUUAACUGUGCUAAGGUAGCGUAAUCAUUUGUCUUUUAAUUGUUGGCUAGUAUGAAGGGUUGGACAAAGUGUAAUCUUUCUUUACUUUAAUUAAUGAAUUUAAUUUUUAAGUUAAAAUGCUUAAAUUUUAUUAAGGGACGAUAAGACCCCGUAGAGUUUAAUAUUUAUUUAAUUAAUUUUAAGUAUUUGAUUAUGUAUAAAUUAAUUUAUUUGAAAUAUUGGAUUGGGGUGAUUAUUGAAUUUGUUUAACUUCUAUUUAUUUAGUUUCAUUUAUUUUUGUUUUUUUGAUCCAUCAGUGAUGAUUAAAAGAUUAAAUUACCUCGGGGAUAACAGCGUAAUUUUUUCGGAAAGUUCAUAUUGAUGAAAGAGUUUGCGACCUCGAUGUUGGAUUAAAAUUAGUUUUUGAUGCASUAGUUAAUUAACUAGGUCUGUUCGACCUUUAAAUUUUUA
This 524-nucleotide ribosomal RNA is filed under the name Caecina affinis. Its description in RNAcentral is "partial 16S ribosomal RNA". It matches the Rfam family "Bacterial large subunit ribosomal RNA", at positions 1809 to 2598 of the family's 2925-position model. The record is from RNAcentral. Lineage: Eukaryota; Metazoa; Arthropoda; Insecta; Hemiptera; Reduviidae.